GAGUUUGAUCUUGGCUCAGGACGAACGCUGGCGGCGUGCCUAACACAUGCAAGUCGAACGGGGCUGUUCCGGAGCUUGCUUCGGGACAGUUCAGUGGCGGACGGGUGAGUAACGCGUGAGGAACCUGCCUUUCAGAGGGGGAUAACGUCUGGAAACGGACGCUAAUACCGCAUGACAUUCCGGGAUCACAUGGUACUGGAAUCAAAGGAGCAAUCCGCUGGAAGAUGGACUCGCGUCCGAUUAGCCGGUUGGCGGGGCAACGGCCCACCAAAGCAACGAUCGGUAGCCGGACUGAGAGGUUGAACGGCCACAUUGGGACUGAGACACGGCCCAGACUCCUACGGGAGGCAGCAGUGGGGGAUAUUGCACAAUGGAGGAAACUCUGAUGCAGCGACGCCGCGUGAGGGAAGACGGUCUUCGGAUUGUAAACCUUUGUCCCCGGUGACGAUAAUGACGGUAGCCGAGGAGGAAGCUCCGGCUAACUACGUGCCAGCAGCCGCCGUAAU
This 506-nucleotide ribosomal RNA is filed under the name bacterium enrichment culture clone ALO1_GLFRUDD03GB2G9. RNAcentral's name for it is "bacterial SSU rRNA". It matches the Rfam family "Bacterial small subunit ribosomal RNA", at positions 9 to 524 of the family's 1533-position model. The record is from RNAcentral.